Molecule: ribosomal RNA, 440 nt
Filed under: uncultured bacterium
Lineage: Bacteria
Description: partial 16S ribosomal RNA
Rfam family: Bacterial small subunit ribosomal RNA
Source: RNAcentral
CCUACGGGUGGCAGCAGUGGGGGAUAUUGCACAAUGGGGGGAAGCCUGAUGCAGCGAAGCCGCGUGGGUGAAGAAGGGCCUCGGGGCGUAAAGCCCUGUCAGCAGGGAAGAAAAUGACGGUACCUGAAGAAGAAGCCCCGGCUAACUACGUGACAGCAGCCGCGGUAAAACGGAGGGGGAAAGCGUUAUCAGGAUUUACUGGGUGGAAAGGGGGCGCAGACGGCGCUGCAAGGCAGGAGCGAAAGCCCGGGGCCCAACCCCGGGACUGCUCUUGGAACUGCGUGGCGGGAGUGGAGGAGGGGCAGGCGGAAUUCCUGGUGUAGCGGUGAAAUGCGUAGAUAUCAGGAGGAACACCGGUGGCGAAGGCGGCCUGCUGGACUGCAACUGACGUUGAGGCCCGAAAGCGUGGGGAGCAAACAGGAUUAGAUACCCCGGUAGUC